Long non-coding RNA from Spinacia oleracea (spinach), 887 nucleotides. RefSeq lists it as uncharacterized. NCBI's taxonomy places the organism in Eukaryota, Viridiplantae, Streptophyta, Magnoliopsida, Caryophyllales, Amaranthaceae. The transcript has 3 exons. The record is from RefSeq and is a predicted model, not a curated record.
UAAAAGAAAAUUUAUAUACUUAUAUGUAAUUCUAUAACAUAAGUUGUAGCUGGCUAUAAUGGUACUUCGUAGUAAGUAUAACUUUUAACUAAUGAGAUCCGGUGUUCGAUCCUUUUUACAUGACAUGACCUUCGGUAUGGCCCUCCUCUAUCAUCCAAAGAAACGAACAGAGAUAACUUCGGCGUUAUUAUGCUCCUUUCUACCCUUCCCAUGAUUCCUCUGAUCCUAAAAACUUCCGCGUGGGAGUCCUCAGGGCCCGUUCGCACUACAACAAAAUACCUAUUUAGCGGCAUUUGUCUAGUGGGAUUUAUUACAAAUGCCGUUAUAUGACAACUAUAGGCGGCAUUUGCUAGUGGCAUUUGAUUAAUUUGCCGCCUAAGGCCCAUUUUAGAUCCGCGGCCCAGUAUUCCUUACAACACAAAGUAUUGAUAAAAAAAAAAUUGAACUACUUUACUGAUGAAAACAUAAAACGUCUUUGCUAAACCCUCAAAGAAAUUUGCCACCUCCAUCGUCUCUCAUCAUUGUCACCCUCAAUUUCUCAACAUUCUCAAUUGCAGACUCCAUUCAAGGACACAAAUCGGGACAUAUAUUCACCAAUUUUAACAUUCGGGUUUUCCAUAUCAAGGCGAUGAGGAUUGAGGACUCUAGUAAUAUCUUUUUUUUUCAGGUGAUCAUAAAAUCUUUCACAACAUCAUACCGACGGUUUCAAAUACUGUAUUCACAUUCACUAGGUUCCACAGAAAAAUUGUACAUUGUUAUCUCCUUUGUAUAUGAAACAAAGUAACUAUAAAGUUUGUUAGUUUAGAGCCUACUUAGGAUUAUUAGGCAAAUCAAAAGUUAGGAUAUUGUGUUGUACUAAUUGUAAUGUACUUGUUACAUCAAUGAAA